RNAcentral lists this ribosomal RNA (1159 nucleotides) under Pseudomonas aeruginosa VRFPA07. RNAcentral describes it as "bacterial LSU rRNA". It matches the Rfam family "Bacterial large subunit ribosomal RNA", at positions 1783 to 2925 of the family's 2925-position model. The record is from RNAcentral. Lineage: Bacteria; Pseudomonadati; Pseudomonadota; Gammaproteobacteria; Pseudomonadales; Pseudomonadaceae.
CCAGGCCGCUGCGACUGUUUAUUAAAAACACAGCACUCUGCAAACACGAAAGUGGACGUAUAGGGUGUGACGCCUGCCCGGUGCCGGAAGGUUAAUUGAUGGGGUUAGCGCAAGCGAAGCUCUUGAUCGAAGCCCCGGUAAACGGCGGCCGUAACUAUAACGGUCCUAAGGUAGCGAAAUUCCUUGUCGGGUAAGUUCCGACCUGCACGAAUGGCGUAACGAUGGCGGCGCUGUCUCCACCCGAGACUCAGUGAAAUUGAAAUCGCUGUGAAGAUGCAGUGUAUCCGCGGCUAGACGGAAAGACCCCGUGAACCUUUACUGUAGCUUUGCACUGGACUUUGAGCCUGCUUGUGUAGGAUAGGUGGGAGGCUUUGAAGCGUGGACGCCAGUUCGCGUGGAGCCAUCCUUGAAAUACCACCCUGGCAUGCUUGAGGUUCUAACUCUGGUCCGUGAUCCGGAUCGAGGACAGUGUAUGGUGGGCAGUUUGACUGGGGCGGUCUCCUCCUAAAGAGUAACGGAGGAGUACGAAGGUGCGCUCAGACCGGUCGGAAAUCGGUCGUAGAGUAUAAAGGCAAAAGCGCGCUUGACUGCGAGACAGACACGUCGAGCAGGUACGAAAGUAGGUCUUAGUGAUCCGGUGGUUCUGUAUGGAAGGGCCAUCGCUCAACGGAUAAAAGGUACUCCGGGGAUAACAGGCUGAUACCGCCCAAGAGUUCAUAUCGACGGCGGUGUUUGGCACCUCGAUGUCGGCUCAUCACAUCCUGGGGCUGAAGCCGGUCCCAAGGGUAUGGCUGUUCGCCAUUUAAAGUGGUACGCGAGCUGGGUUUAGAACGUCGUGAGACAGUUCGGUCCCUAUCUGCCGUGGACGUUUGAGAUUUGAGAGGGGCUGCUCCUAGUACGAGAGGACCGGAGUGGACGAACCUCUGGUGUUCCGGUUGUCACGCCAGUGGCAUUGCCGGGUAGCUAUGUUCGGAAAAGAUAACCGCUGAAAGCAUCUAAGCGGGAAACUUGCCUCAAGAUGAGAUCUCACUGGGAACUUGAUUCCCCUGAAGGGCCGUCGAAGACUACGACGUUGAUAGGCUGGGUGUGUAAGCGUUGUGAGGCGUUGAGCUAACCAGUACUAAUUGCCCGUGAGGCUUGACCAUAUAACACCCAAACA